GAUGAAGAACGCAGCGAAAUGCGAUAAGUAAUGUGAAUUGCAGAAUUCAGUGAAUCAUCGAAUCUUUGAACGCAUCUUGCGCUCCUUGGUAUUCCGAGGAGCAUGCCUGUUUGAGUGUCAUUUAACUUCUCAACCACAUUGGAUAUUUUUUUUCCGAUGCCGGCUUGGAUGUGGGGGUUGUUUGCAGGCUGUUUGUAACAAAAAAGGUCGGCUCCCCUGAAAUGUAUUAGUGGUAUCUGAGGCUAUUACUAUUAGGUGUGAUAAUUAUCUAUGCCUUUUGGGUAUGCCGCAUGAACAGAUUAUGCUGCUUCUAACGAAAACUAUUUUGAUGAAUUUGACCUCAAAUCAGGUAGGACUACCCGCUGAACUUAAGCAUAUCAAUAAGCGGAGGA
RNAcentral lists this unclassified non-coding RNA (392 nucleotides) under soil metagenome. RNAcentral describes it as "partial contains 5.8S ribosomal RNA, internal transcribed spacer 2, and large subunit ribosomal RNA". The stretch from base 1 to 120 matches the Rfam family "5.8S ribosomal RNA", at positions 35 to 154 of the family's 154-position model. The record is from RNAcentral.